This 192-nucleotide non-coding RNA is filed under the name Bacillus sp. (in: firmicutes). RNAcentral also lists the same sequence under 1 other name. The record is from RNAcentral. Lineage: Bacteria; Bacillati; Bacillota; Bacilli; Caryophanales; Bacillaceae.
CGGAAUACAACGGAGCUAGGUGCCCUUAUGCAUAUAAGGGGUAACAGGGAAUCGGGUGAAAAUCCCGAGCGGUCCCGCCACUGUAACCAGGGAAUUCUCUUUUGACAGGCCACUCGCCGGUCGCCGGACGGGGAAGGCAAAAGAGCGUGAUGAUCUGGAAGCCAGGAGACCUACCUAGCUGCCGCACCCAAA